CUCGUAGGCGGUUCGUCGCGUCCGGUGUGAAAGUCCAUCGCCUAACGGUGGAUCUGCGCCGGGUACGGGCGGGCUGGAGUGCAGUAGGGGAGACUGGAAUUCCCGGUGUAACGGUGGAAUGUGUAGAUAUCGGGAAGAACACCAAUGGCGAAGGCAGGUCUCUGGGCCGUUACUGACGCUGAGGAGCGAAAGCGUGGGGAGCGAACA
RNAcentral lists this ribosomal RNA (207 nucleotides) under uncultured bacterium. Its description in RNAcentral is "partial 16S ribosomal RNA". It matches the Rfam family "Bacterial small subunit ribosomal RNA", at positions 568 to 774 of the family's 1533-position model. The record is from RNAcentral.